RNAcentral lists this ribosomal RNA (705 nucleotides) under uncultured bacterium. RNAcentral describes it as "bacterial SSU rRNA". It matches the Rfam family "Bacterial small subunit ribosomal RNA", at positions 10 to 702 of the family's 1533-position model. The record is from RNAcentral.
AGUUUGAUCAUGGCUCAGGACGAACGCUGGCGGCGCGCUUAACACAUGCAAGUCGAGCGAUAACCAUGGCUUCGGCUAUGGGGAGAGCGGCGAACGGGUGAGUAACACGUGAGUAAUCUGCCCUCGACACUGGGAUAGCCCGGGGAAACCCGGAUUAAUACCGGAUAGCCUCUCGAGCUCUCGGGCUCGUGAGAAAAGAUGGCUUCGGCUUUCGGUUGAGGAGGAGCUUGCGGCGGAUUAGCUUGUUGGUGAGGUAACGGCCCACCAAGGCGACGAUCCGUAGCUGGUCUGAGAGGACGAUCAGCCACACUGGGACUGAGACACGGCCCAGACUCCUACGGGAGGCAGCAGUGGGGAAUCUUGCGCAAUGGGCGAAAGACUGACGCAGCGACGCCGCGUGAGGGAAGAAGGCCUUCGGGUUGUAAACCUCUUUCAGGAGGGACGAAGCUACUCGGGUUAAUAGCCCAGAGGGUGACGGUACCUCCAGAAGAAGCCCCGGCUAACUACGUGCCAGCAGCCGCGGUAAUACGUAGGGGGCAAGCGUUGUCCGGAUUUAUUGGGCGUAAAGAGCGUGUAGGCGGCCAGAUAAGUCCGCUGUGAAAACUCGAAGCUCAACUUCGAGCUGUCGGUGGAAACUAUCUGGCUAGAGUCCGGAAGAGGAGAGUGGAAUUCCUGGUGUAGCGGUGAAAUGCGCAGAUAUCAGGA